This 344-nucleotide unclassified non-coding RNA is filed under the name soil metagenome. RNAcentral describes it as "partial contains 5.8S ribosomal RNA, internal transcribed spacer 2, and large subunit ribosomal RNA". The stretch from base 1 to 120 matches the Rfam family "5.8S ribosomal RNA", at positions 35 to 154 of the family's 154-position model. The record is from RNAcentral.
GAUGAAGAACGUAGCGAAAUGCGAUAAGUAAUGUGAAUUGCAGAAUUCAGUGAAUCAUCGAAUCUUUGAACGCACAUUGCGCCCGCCAGUAUUCUGGCGGGCAUGCCUGUUCGAGCGUCAUUUCAACCCUCAAGCCCCCGGGCUUGGUGUAGGGGAUCGGCGUGCCCUCGCGGCGCGCCGUCCCCUAAAUCUAGUGGUGGUCUCGCUGUAGCUUCCUCUGCGUAGUAGCAACACUCGCACUGGAUCGCAGCGCGGCCACGCCGUUAAACCCCCCACUUCUGAAAGUUUGACCUCGGAUCAGGUAGGAAUACCCGCUGAACUUAAGCAUAUCAAUAAGCGGAGGA